Molecule: long non-coding RNA, 802 nt
Organism: Hemibagrus wyckioides
Lineage: Eukaryota; Metazoa; Chordata; Actinopteri; Siluriformes; Bagridae
Exons: 4
Source: RefSeq, a predicted model, not a curated record
CGAGGCAGUUGGAGGAACGUGCUGAGAUUCUUUAUCAGAUCUGAAGACAUCCAAGAAGCAGAGCCAUAAAAGUGCAUCUUUCAGAGGGACCAGGAAACAACAGCAGGAAGCAACACUGUCAGAAAAAUGCUACAGUUCCUCCAAGUUCUCGGACCAUCUCUGCGCCUCUGAACGUUGUUGAUUUGCAGGAGCAAUUUCCCGAGGUCUGCUGACCUUCUGCGAAUACGAGAUGUUCUCCUCUCCUACGUUCUCCUACAGCCAGUGUUUUCUGGUAAUUUGGCUGUGAUUUGAAUACUGCACAGCCUCCAGGGGAAGCAUGAGACGGACGGACGCACCGGAGUGGACUCAUCACUGUGUCCUGCUGUACACAUGCAGAGAGUUUAGAGCGGACAGUAAACGUGAUGGAUGCUGUGUUUAGCGAACAGGAUGGACACCAAAUGGAACGUGAUCUGAUCUAAGCAGAGUUUCUCCAAACACACUUAUCUAAAGCUGUACUCUCUCAUCGGGGUAAAGUGGCAGAUCUAUGAAGCAGAUGGUCUCCAGAUAAAUUGUGAUCAGUGGCAUCAAGCGGAGGACAGGAAAUGAUUUCCAUCUAAAGUCAUUAUCCUUAUCUGGUUAUUCAGGACUUCCUGCAUCAUUACUCCUUUACACUCAGACUUGUUGAGUCAUUCUGUACACACGCGGCUAAUUAUUCUGUCUCCUGAGGAUUAGCUUUAACACCUAACCUUACAAAGUAACAUGAUAUAAAUGUAAUGUUUAUGAUGUAACUGUGGUGUUUAUGAUGCAACUGUAAUGUUUAUGA